CGGGGCGUGGCGCAGCUUGGUAGCGCAUCUGCUUUGGGAGCAGAGGGUCGCUGGUUCGAAUCCAGUCGCCCCGA
Transfer RNA from Olsenella sp. An188, 74 nucleotides. It matches the Rfam family "tRNA". Rfam says of the family: Transfer RNA (tRNA) molecules are approximately 80 nucleotides in length. Their secondary structure includes four short double-helical elements and three loops (D, anti-codon, and T loops). NCBI's taxonomy places the organism in Bacteria, Bacillati, Actinomycetota, Coriobacteriia, Coriobacteriales, Atopobiaceae. The record is from Rfam.